RNAcentral lists this ribosomal RNA (1294 nucleotides) under Clostridium perfringens. RNAcentral's name for it is "bacterial LSU rRNA". It matches the Rfam family "Bacterial large subunit ribosomal RNA", at positions 1620 to 2925 of the family's 2925-position model. Lineage: Bacteria; Bacillati; Bacillota; Clostridia; Eubacteriales; Clostridiaceae. The record is from RNAcentral.
CGUCUAGAGAGAGAAGUAGUGCCCGUACCGCAAACCGACACAGGUAGGUGAGGAGAGAAUCCUAAGGCCGGCGGAAGAAUUACAGUUAAGGAACUCGGCAAAUUGACCCCGUAAGUUCGCGAGAAGGGGUGCCUACGAGAGUAGGCCGCAGAGAAUAGGCCCAAGCAACUGUUUAGCAAAAACACAGGUCUCUGCUAAAGCGUAAGCUGAUGUAUAGGGGCUGACGCCUGCCCGGUGCUGGAAGGUUAAGGGGAACACUUAGCGCAAGCGAAGGUGUGAACUUAAGCCCCAGUAAACGGCGGCCGUAACUAUAACGGUCCUAAGGUAGCGAAAUUCCUUGUCAGGUAAGUUCUGACCCGCACGAAUGGCGUAAUGACUUGGGCACUGUCUCAACUGUAAAUCCGGCGAAGUUGUAGUGCGAGUGAAGAUGCUCGCUACCCGCGAUUGGACGGAAAGACCCCGUAGAGCUUUACUGUAGCUUAGCAUUGAGUUUUGGUAUUGUCUGUACAGGAUAGGUGGGAGACUAGGAAACCAGGGCGUCAGCCUUGGUGGAGUCAACCUUGGGAUACCACCCUGACAGUACUGAAAUUCUAACUGGCGGCCAUGAAUCUGGUCACAGGACAUUGUUAGGUGGGCAGUUUGACUGGGGCGGUCGCCUCCUAAAAAGUAACGGAGGCGCCCAAAGGUUCCCUCAGAACGGUCGGAAAUCGUUCGAAGAGUGCAAAGGCAGAAGGGAGCCUGACUGCGACACCCACAAGUGGAGCAGGGACGAAAGUCGGGCUUAGUGAUCCGGUGGUACCUCGUGGGAGGGCCAUCGCUCAACGGAUAAAAGCUACCUCGGGGAUAACAGGCUGAUCUCCCCCAAGAGUCCACAUCGACGGGGAGGUUUGGCACCUCGAUGUCGGCUCGUCGCAUCCUGGGGCUGAAGUAGGUCCCAAGGGUUGGGCUGUUCGCCCAUUAAAGCGGCACGCGAGCUGGGUUCAGAACGUCGUGAGACAGUUCGGUCCCUAUCCGUCGCGGGCGUAGGAAAUUUGAGAGGAGCUGUCCUUAGUACGAGAGGACCGGGAUGGACUGACCUCUGGUGUACCAGUUGUUCCGCCAGGAGCACAGCUGGGUAGCUAAGUCGGGAAUGGAUAAACGCUGAAAGCAUCUAAGCGUGAAGCCAACCUCAAGAUGAGAUUUCCCAUAGCGUAAGCUAGUAAGAUCCCUUGAAGAACACAAGGUUGAUAGGUCGGGGGUGUAAGCAUGGUAACAUGUUCAGCUGACCGAUACUAAUAGAUCGAGGGCUUGACCA